Molecule: unclassified non-coding RNA, 187 nt
Filed under: Hominimerdicola alba
Lineage: Bacteria; Bacillati; Bacillota; Clostridia; Eubacteriales; Oscillospiraceae
Description: Ruminococcus albus Bacterial large signal recognition particle RNA
Rfam family: Bacterial small signal recognition particle RNA (bases 68-167)
About the family: The signal recognition particle (SRP) is a universally conserved ribonucleoprotein involved in the co-translational targeting of proteins to membranes. Archaeal SRP consists of a 7S RNA and homologues of the eukaryotic SRP19 and SRP54 proteins.
Source: RNAcentral
GAUAAUUCUAUCGGCGGCAAAGACUGGAAACAGAUAUCCGGACGUUGAUUCGAUCCGAGAUAUGGGUGUGCGGGUCCUGUACAAUGAAACGCUGUGAACCAUGUCAGGCGGGGAACCGAGCAGCAUUAAGCGGUUUGUUUCGUGUGUUACAGUUUCGCCUGCACGCCUAUAUGUCGGAUCGAUUUUU